RNAcentral lists this ribosomal RNA (486 nucleotides) under uncultured bacterium. Its description in RNAcentral is "partial 16S ribosomal RNA". It matches the Rfam family "Bacterial small subunit ribosomal RNA", at positions 28 to 507 of the family's 1533-position model. The record is from RNAcentral.
GAUGAACGCUGGCGGCGUGCCUAAUACAUGCAAGUCGAACGCUGGAGCUCUAGCUUGCUAGAUCGAAGGAGUGGCGAACGGGUGAGUAAUACAUAAGCAACCUACCCACGAAGACUGGGAUAAUCUCUGGAAACGGGGACUAAUACCGGAUAGGUAAUCGGAAGGCAUCUUCUGGUUAUUAAAGGUUAAAAACACUGGUGGAUGGGCUUAUGGCGCAUUAGUUAGUUGGUGAGGUAACGGCCCACCAAGACGAUGAUGCGUAGCCGGCCUGAGAGGGUGAACGGCCACAUUGGGACUGAGACACGGCCCAGACUCCUACGGGAGGCAGCAGUAGGGAAUUUUCGGAAAUGGGGGCAACCCUGACCGAGCAACGCCGCGUGAGUGAAGACGGCCUUCGGGGUGUAAAGCUCUGUUGUAAGGGAAGAACGGUAGAUAGAGAAUAUCUAAGUGACGGUACCUUACCAGAAAGCCACGGCUAACUACGUG